Molecule: long non-coding RNA, 1419 nt
Filed under: Monodelphis domestica (gray short-tailed opossum)
Lineage: Eukaryota; Metazoa; Chordata; Mammalia; Didelphimorphia; Didelphidae
Description: lncRNA (ENSMODG00000046039.1)
Source: RNAcentral
AUGAGCUCCUCUAGAACAUGGACUGUCUUGGUUUGCUAUUUAUAUUCCAAACAUUCAGCACAGUCUUUGGCACACCGUAAGCACUUAAUAAACUUUGUCUCUCUCUCUCUCUCUCCUCCCUUCCCUUUUCUUUCUUUCCUACCUCCUUCCCUCCCUUCCUUUUUUCCUUCCUUCCUUCCUUCCUUCCUUCCUUCCUCUCCCUUCCUUUUUUCCUUCAUCCCUUCCUCUCUCCCUCCCUCCCUUCCUUCCUUCCUCUCCCUUCCUUUUUUCCUUCAUCCCUUCCUCUCUCCCUUCCUCCUACCUUUUCCCUUCCUUCCUUCCUUCCUCUCUCCCUCCUUCCUUUUUCUUUUCCUUUCUUCUGUCCUCUCUUUCUUCUUCCUUCCCUUCUUUCCUUCCUUCCAUGCCUUGGUGCUCUGCUGUAUUGCUUAAGAGGCCAGAAUUAGCAACCAUGGUUGGAAUUACAAAAGUAUAUUUGGCUCUGUACAAGGAAGGACCUUCCAGCAACCAGUGCUAGCCAACAAUAAUAGAAUGGGCCAAUGACCUAUGGAAGUAGAAAACCUCUUAUCCUAGGGUCAGAGAUCCAGAGCUAAAAACAUUUGAGAAGCCAGUCAUCUAGACCAACCCCUGCCUUUUACAUGUGAGGAAACCAAGGCCAAGAUAGGAGAAGUCUCUUGCCCAAGGUCACACGGGUGGUAAAUGGCAGAAACUGGAUUGGAACCCAGAUCCUCUGACUACAAACCUCUUCCCACUGAGUCCUACAAACAGAGCAUUCCCAUCAGGGCAUUCCUUCCAGACCCUCAGUAUCCUUGUCUGUCUUACCCUCUGCCAUCACCCCUAAAGACCUGGAAAGGAUCCGUGUUGUCUUUUUCUGUUUCCCGUGUUGCCAAGACUCAAGAGUUCAUCCUGGCCUGCCUCUUACAGGCUUGGCAGGGCUGGUCCUUGGAGAGAUCAGAAGCUGCCUGGCUUGGGUGUCCUGUGGCACUCCUAGACAACGGGCUCCAGCAGGAAGGCCAGACCCAAGGCUCACCUACACCUUGUAUCUCCCAUCACCCUCAGCGCAUGUCCUACAUACAGCAGGUGUUUACUCGUAAAUACACGGGGGAAGAACUGUGAGGACCAGCUUAACUGAUGUUGGGCCCACCGAUCAGUGAGAAGAUGCAGAGGGGAGCAGCUCUGGGACAGAACGCUGGGCAGCCUUUCCCAGGGCCAGCGUGGUGCUCCGUUUCACUGAAUGGAGCGGUUUUUGUUUUGAUUUGUUCUCCUAUUUCUUAUUUGGUGGUUCUCUGGGUGGGGAAAGAAAGAAUUUUUGGAAUUGUGGGUCUGUCCCAGAAAUGAGGAGUUAAAGUGGGGGACAAUGUGGAGGUACAAUCAAGAGCCAUGUAGAAUAAAUUUGGGGCAAUCUCAGAGGGAAGAAACUAA